GUGAGGGCGUGCGGCUUCCGUGAGGGAGCGGCGGGACCCGGACCGGGAAAAGGAACGGGAAUGGGACCGGGAAUGAGCCCGGGACCGGGAACAGCCACGGAGCGGGAUCGGAACCAGCAACGAGCGCCAACAGGACCAGGAAAACUUCUACAGAUCCCCACGGUGACACUGGCAGGGGACACAUCUCCUCCCUGGUGUCACAUCCAAAGUGACACCGUGCUUGGGAAUCAGUGGGGAGAGUUGUGAGCUCUGUGUGAACAGAGGGACGUGGAGCAGGAGUGUGGCUCUCCUCACUCCACCUGUGUUGUUCCAGUCCUGGAGCCUCGUUCUGGGGAGUUCUUUUAUUCCUUUCUCAUUUCUUUAAUUGACAAUAAAGUGUCCCUGCCCUGGGCAGGGAGGUUGGAAUGAGAUGAUCUUUAGGGUCCCUUCCAAGCCCCCCCAUUCCAUGAUUCCACGUUAUUUACACCAGCAGCGUUCCACCCUCACAAGCAGGGCUGAGGGAGGCGCAGGUGUGCUCACACAACUGAGGGUUUUAUUUAUAUCUCAGAAGGUGAAACAACAAAAGCAAAGGCAGAGCCCUCGGUGGUGCCACAAUCUGGGAUUCCCGCUCUCCAUCCCGCUGUGGCAUUCCCGUGCAAGGACAGCACCUGAUAAGGUGUGCUGGGAACAGGACAUUCCGGCGCUGUUUUCCCAAAGAAACCUGAUAACAGCAACAACCAGCUGCUCCCAAAGGGAGCCACAUCGGCAGCGAGGAGACCUUGGCACCCAGGGGCUUAGUGGCUCUCCCGACUUCGGGCAGCGGGUUUGUCACAGAGCCUGGACAGACCCCUGAAACAGAGCCGUGGGAGCUCCUGAGCUUUGGGGUUAACUCCAACCAGCAGGUUUGUCACAGAGCGUGGAAGAUUCCUGAAACAGACCCGUGGGAGCUCCUGAGCUU
This is a long non-coding RNA of Passer domesticus (house sparrow), 937 nucleotides long. RefSeq lists it as uncharacterized. Lineage: Eukaryota; Metazoa; Chordata; Aves; Passeriformes; Passeridae. The record is from RefSeq and is a predicted model, not a curated record. The transcript has 3 exons.